Molecule: ribosomal RNA, 439 nt
Filed under: uncultured bacterium
Lineage: Bacteria
Description: bacterial SSU rRNA
Rfam family: Bacterial small subunit ribosomal RNA
Source: RNAcentral
GCAUAACGCGAAGAACCUUACCUACUCUUGACAUCCAGAGAACUUAGCAGAGAUGCUUUGGUGCCUUCGGGAACUCUGAGACAGGUGCUGCAUGGCUGUCGUCAGCUCGUGUUGUGAAAUGUUGGGUUAACGUCCCGCAACGAGCGCAACCCUUAUCCUUUGUUGCCAGCGGUUAGGCCGGGAACUCAAAGGAGACUGCCAGUGAUAAACUGGAGGAAGGUGGGGAUGACGUCAAGUCAUCAUGGCCCUUACGAGUAGGGCUACACACGUGCUACAAUGGCAUAUACAAAGAGAAGCGACCUCGCGAGAGCAAGCGGACCUCAUAAAGUAUGUCGUAGUCCGGAUUGGAGUCUGCAACUCGACUCCAUGAAGUCGGAAUCGCUAGUAAUCGUGGAUCAGAAUGCCACGGUGAAUACGUUCCCGGGUCUUGUACACACCG